This 433-nucleotide ribosomal RNA is filed under the name uncultured bacterium. RNAcentral describes it as "partial 16S ribosomal RNA". It matches the Rfam family "Bacterial small subunit ribosomal RNA", at positions 29 to 507 of the family's 1533-position model. The record is from RNAcentral.
AACGAACGCUGGCGGCAUGCCUAACACAUGCAAGUCGAACGAUGCUUUCGGGCAUAGUGGCGCACGGGUGCGUAACGCGUGGGAAUCUGCCCUUGGGUUCGGAAUAACAGUGAGAAAUUGCUGCUAAUACCGGAUGAUGUCUUCGGACCAAAGAUUUAUCGCCCAGGGAUGAGCCCGCGUAGGAUUAGCUAGUUGGUGGGGUAAUGGCCUACCAAGGCGACGAUCCUUAGCUGGUCUGAGAGGAUGAUCAGCCACACUGGGACUGAGACACGGCCCAGACUCCUACGGGAGGCAGCAGUGGGGAAUAUUUGACAAUGGGCGCAAGCCUGAUCCAGCAAUGCCGCGUGAGUGAUGAAGGCCUUAGGGUUGUAAAGCUCUUUUACCCGGGAUGAUAAUGACAGUACCGGGAGAAUAAGCUCCGGCUAACUCCGUG